UCCGUCAGAAAAAGCAGGGCAGGCUGCGC
RNAcentral lists this small RNA (29 nucleotides) under Bombyx mori (domestic silkworm). RNAcentral's name for it is "ovarian small RNA-27595". Lineage: Eukaryota; Metazoa; Arthropoda; Insecta; Lepidoptera; Bombycidae. The record is from RNAcentral.